CCCGCCACUAUGCUAGUCUGUGUGAGUGACUCGGUAUAAUCCAGUGGAGGCUGAGAGAAACCCAGCUCUAGGAAGCAGGGCUGCCCAGUCUGAUGGGUAACUCUGUGCCGAAAGGCCUGGAACACAC
Small nucleolar RNA from Ictalurus punctatus (channel catfish), 127 nucleotides. Ensembl annotates it as Small nucleolar RNA SNORA65. Its record names the gene SNORA65. Lineage: Eukaryota; Metazoa; Chordata; Actinopteri; Siluriformes; Ictaluridae. The record is from Ensembl.